GACGUAGGAUGCAAGCGUUGUCCGGAUUUAUUGGGCGUAAAGAGUUCGUAGGCGGUCUGUUAAGUCUGAUGUUAAAGAUCGGGGCCCAACCCCGGGACUGCAUUGGAAACUGGCAGGCUGGAGUGCAGUAGAGGCAAGCGGAAUUCCCGGUGUAGCGGUGAAAUGCGUAGAUAUCGGGAAGAACACCGGUGGCGUAAGCGGCUUGCUGGGCUGUAACUGACGCUGAGGAACGAAAGCCAGGGGAGCGAAUGGG
RNAcentral lists this ribosomal RNA (253 nucleotides) under uncultured bacterium. RNAcentral's name for it is "partial 16S ribosomal RNA". It matches the Rfam family "Bacterial small subunit ribosomal RNA", at positions 524 to 776 of the family's 1533-position model. The record is from RNAcentral.